RNAcentral lists this ribosomal RNA (266 nucleotides) under uncultured bacterium. Its description in RNAcentral is "partial 16S ribosomal RNA". It matches the Rfam family "Bacterial small subunit ribosomal RNA", at positions 793 to 1055 of the family's 1533-position model. The record is from RNAcentral.
GUCCACGCCGUAAACGAUGAAUGCUAGCCGUUGGCCGGUUUACCGGUCAGUGGCGCAGCUAACGCUUUAAGCAUUCCGCCUGGGGAGUACGGUCGCAAGAUUAAAACUCAAAGGAAUUGACGGGGGCCCGCACAAGCGGUGGAGCAUGUGGUUCAAUUCGACGCAACGCGAAGAACCUUACCAGCUCUUGACAUGUCUCGUAUGGGUUUCAGAGAUGAGACUCUUCAGUUCGGCUGGCGAGAACACAGGUGCUGCAUGGCUGUCGU